GAUGAACGCUAGCGGCAGGCUUAACACAUGCAAGUCGAGGGGUAUGGUAGCAAUACCAGAGACCGGCAAACGGGUGCGGAACACGUACAGAACCUACCUUGAUCUGGGGCAUAGCCCGAAGAAAUUCGGAUUAACUCCCCAUAAUAUGCGUGAGUGGCAUCACUUGUGCAUUAAAAAUUUAUUGGAUCGAGAUGGCUGUGCGUCCCAUUAGCUAGUUGGUAGGGUAACGGCCUACCAAGGCGACGAUGGGUAGCUGGUGUGAGAGCACGACCAGCCACACGGGCACUGAGACACGGGCCCGACUCCUACGGGAGGCAGCAGUGAGGAAUAUUGGUCAAUGGACGCAGGUCUGAACCAGCCAUGCCGCGUGAAGGAUGAAGGCCUUCUGGGUUGUAAACUUCUUUUAUGUGGGAAGAAACCACUUUUUUCUAAGAGUGUUGACGGUACCAUAGGAAUAAGCACCGGCUAACUCCGUGCCAGCAGCCGCGGUAAUACGGAGGGUGCAAGCGUUAUCCGGAUUCACUGGGUUUAAAGGGUGUGUAGGCGGGUAUUUAAGUCAGUGGUGAAAUCUCCGGGCUCAACCCGGAAACUGCCAUUGAUACUAUAU
RNAcentral lists this ribosomal RNA (607 nucleotides) under uncultured bacterium. RNAcentral describes it as "bacterial SSU rRNA". It matches the Rfam family "Bacterial small subunit ribosomal RNA", at positions 28 to 638 of the family's 1533-position model. The record is from RNAcentral.